Molecule: long non-coding RNA, 102 nt
Organism: Gavialis gangeticus (Gharial)
Lineage: Eukaryota; Metazoa; Chordata; Crocodylia; Gavialidae
Exons: 3
Source: RefSeq, a predicted model, not a curated record
ACUGAUGCCGGAUUUAAUAUCAGCCUUCAACUACAUGAAGGAUGGAUAAUUACAAAGAGGUUGGAGCUAGACUGUUUUCAGUGGUGGCAGAUGACAGAACAA